GAUGCACAAGAAGUAGUUAGUCUAACCUUCGGGAGGACGAUUACCACUUUGUGUUUCAUGACUGGGGUGAAGUCGUAACAAGGUAACCAA
This 90-nucleotide ribosomal RNA is filed under the name uncultured bacterium. Its description in RNAcentral is "partial 16S ribosomal RNA". The record is from RNAcentral.